UCCGUUUUGACAACGGCAGUCUCCCUAGAGUUCCCGGCAUGACCCGUUGGCAACUAGGGACAAGGGUUUCGCUCGUUAAGGGACUUAACCCGACAUCUCACGACACGAGCUGACGACAGCCAUGCAGCACCUGGACAUCCAGUUCCCUUGCGGGCACAUCCACGUCUCUGCGGACUUCUCGAGGCUUUCCCCUGCAUGUCAAGCCCAGGUAAGGUUCUUCGCGUUGCGUCGAAUUAAACCACAUGCUCCACCGCUUGUGCGGGCCCCCGUCAAUUCCUUUGAGUUUCAGCCUUGCGGCCGUACUCCCCAGGCGGGGCACUUAAUGCGUUAGCGCCGGCACCCAGGGGGUCGCUCCCCCAGGCACCUAGUGCCCAUCGUUUACGGCGUGGACUAC
RNAcentral lists this unclassified non-coding RNA (394 nucleotides) under uncultured bacterium. RNAcentral's name for it is "contains 16S-23S intergenic spacer region". The record is from RNAcentral.